Molecule: long non-coding RNA, 1056 nt
Organism: Myotis myotis
Lineage: Eukaryota; Metazoa; Chordata; Mammalia; Chiroptera; Vespertilionidae
Exons: 4
Source: RefSeq, a predicted model, not a curated record
CCCUCAACCAAGGUACAUGCCCCUGACCAGAACUGAACCCGGGACCCUUCAGUCCGCAGGCUGAUGCUCCAUCCACUGAGCCAAACUGGUCAGGACUAUUUGUAAUUUUUAAAAAGGAAAUGGAUUCACUUUCCCUGCACGAGCGCCUGCAGCCUGGCACACAGGUGCAGUGUGAGGAAGACCCUCAGCACAGAAGCAGCGCUUCUAGGGUGCACUCAGGACAAUGUGGGACACCGCCAGAGCUGAACUUCGCAGCUUUAAUCGUGACUUCAUUACUACAGCGCCUGUGCCAUCUUCAUGCCUCAUGCACCCCUUUCUCCACCCUGAAUGGCAGCCAGGAACCAACAGAGAUUCCGAGAAUUAUUUCCUUGGCCCAGAUCUCCUAAAACCAGUCAGGAUUGGGGCUGAAGCAGGAAGGGCUGGAGAUGGAGUUAAUCAUCAAUGGCCAAUGAUUUCAUCAAUGCAGCCUGCAUCAUGAAGCCUUCACAGAACUCCUACACAGCAGUGUUUGGGGCGAUUCCAGGUUGGGGCACACAUCCAUGUGCUGGAGGGUGGCACACCCAGAGAGGCGCGGAGCUCCAUGGCCCUCUUCCCCAUACCUUGCUCGAUGCACGUCUUCCGUCUGACUGUUCCAAGCGGUAGCCUUUACAAUAACCCAGUAACAUAAGUGAGGUGCUCCCUGAGUUCUGUGAGUUGUUCUAGCACACGACCAAGUGGGGAAGGGCAGGAGCCUCCCAGUGUGUAGUCGGCCUGGCAGCAGACCCAGCGGGAGCAGAAGAGGCGGGAAAACGUGAACUCAGCCCGGGGCCAGGGGACUGCCGUGUUUGUGGUGUGUGCGCAGGGUGUGUUCUCUGGGGAAACCGCGUACUCUGAAAGCUAGAGGAGAAAGGACGGCACUCUUGAUCCUCUCCAUUAUGUUGACAGACGAGAGUUGUCAGGGCUUAUGGUGAUGCCUGCAUCUGAAUCCCACAGGCUGGGCGGGUAGCUCAGUCUUCAGCAGCCCCCAUGCUUUGAGUUAAGUUAGCCCCCAAUGUGCCUGCCUUGCUGGCUGCCACG